RNAcentral lists this ribosomal RNA (497 nucleotides) under uncultured bacterium. RNAcentral describes it as "partial 16S ribosomal RNA". It matches the Rfam family "Bacterial small subunit ribosomal RNA", at positions 28 to 507 of the family's 1533-position model. The record is from RNAcentral.
GAUGAACGCUGGCGGCGUGCCUAAUACAUGCAAGUCGAGCGAACAGAUGAGGAGCUUGCUCCUCUGACGUUAGCGGCGGACGGGUGAGUAACACGUGGAUAACCUACCUAUAAGACUGGGAUAACUUUGGGAAACCGGAGCUAAUACCGGAUAAUAUAUUGAACCGCAUGGUUCAAUAGUGAAAGACGGUUUUGCUGUCACUUAUAGAUGGAUCCGCGCCGCAUUAGCUAGUUGGUAAGGUAACGGCUUACCAAGGCAACGAUGCGUAGCCGACCGGGGAGGGUAGGCGGCCAAAGGGGAACUGAGACACGGCCAGAACUCCUGGGGGGGGACGCAGUAGGGAAUCUUCCGCAAGGGCGCAAAGCCGGAGGGAGCAACGCGGGGGGAGGAAUGAAGGUCUCGGGAUCAUAAAAUUUUUUUAUGAGGAAAAAAAAAAUGUGUAAGUAACUAUGCACGUCGUGACGGUACUUAAUCAGAAAGCCACGGCAACCUACGUG